Molecule: non-coding RNA, 6831 nt
Organism: Podarcis lilfordi (Lilford's wall lizard)
Lineage: Eukaryota; Metazoa; Chordata; Lepidosauria; Squamata; Lacertidae
Source: the annotation of a GenBank genome assembly
CCAAUUUCAACUUUCCUUUUAGGACCUUUUAAUUGUUUUUCACAAAGGCUAAAAGGACAUCCAGGCACUUCAACGACUGCUAACAUUUAUUCUACUCCAGUGCCCGUGAAUGCAAAACUAAUUCUUUUAAUUAUAAUGAAAAGAGAUGGGAUUGGAUUUCUGGCUUAGUGAGCGGGUGCCUACAGCAUUUAGUUCAAAGUGUCAUCUACAGGUCAGAAAACUUUAAAAAUAUAUAUUUAUUUUGUGGUGAUAUUUUCUUUGCAAUAGUAAACAAUUAAGUUUCCUUGACUGGCCGGAUAAAUUGCUUCCUAAAAAUACUUACUGCUGAAGACUGCUACGCUCAUUCUAAGUAUCUCUACUCAAGCUUAGGACUGGUGCAGAAGUUAUUAAACAGAAGUUGCAUAUCAGCUGUAUGCAACUAUAAUGUUUUCGGGAAAGCAAACUUUGUGAGCACUCCCUGCCACCCCAGCAUCAAAGCAUAAUUGUCAGAAUAUGAAGAUCAAACGCUCAUGACAGGCAAUCUGUUAAAUUGAUUAGCUAAUGCAUUUGAACAGAGUUACUUGCAGUGGGAGAGAUGUGACUCAUUUUUAUUUUUUAACCACUUUUUGAACAGCAUUCAUCCUUUCUGGGAACACCAAGUAUAUAUAUUACAUCAUAAGUUCAAAAACAGUGACCUGUUGCAUCAAACAACAGACCCGCUUUAAUCUGCCAAUCUGUCCACUAAGAUCGGGAUGGCCAGGUGUUUCCAGGAAUCUUGAAAGCAGCCUUUCCUUAUUGUUUGUCCCCAGCAGCUGUAAUUCAGAGGUGCACUGUCUCUGAGAAAGGCCGCUCCAUUUAGCUAUUCAAGCUAAUAGGUAAAGGUAAAGGGACCCCUGACUGUUAGGUCCAGUCACGAACGACUCUGGGUUUGUGGUGCUCAUCUCGCUUUACUGGCCGAGGAAGCCGGCGUACAGCUUCCGGGUCAUGUGGCCAGCAUGACUAAGCCAUUUCUGGCAAACCAGAGCAGCACACAGAAACGCCGUUUACCUUCCCGCUGGAGUGGUACCUAUUUAUCUACUUGCAAUUUGACGUGCUUUUGAACUGCUAGGUUGGCAGGAGCAGGGACCGAGCAACAGGAGCUCACCCCGUCAUGGGGAUUUGAACCGCCAACCUUCUGAUUGACAAGCCCUAGGUUCUGUGGAUUAGACCACAAUGCCACCCGCAUCCCUCAUUCUAGCUAAUAGCCCUUGAUAAAUGUGCCAUUCUUGAAAACGCCUAAUCUCUUUUUCAGACCUACUAAGCCAGUGACCACAACACCAUGCACCUGUGGAUUCCAACAAGUUAAUUAUGUGUUAUGUGAAUACAUAUUUUAUUUUGCCUGUGUCCACUGAAUCUAUGGCAAAACAAAUUCAUUGAAUGACCCCACGCUCUAGUAUUACAGAGGAGAGACAAUUCUAUAUAUCCAUCCUUAACAUGCUACAGUAUUCGUAAUGUUAUAAUCCUGUCUCAUACACCCACUUGUUUUUCUAUUUCUGUAGACCACACUUUUUCAACCUUGGGUCCCUAUAUAUUGUGGGACUACAAAUCCCAUCAUUCCAAGACAACAUGGCCAGUGGCCAGGGAUGAUGGGAUUUGUAGUUCAAGAACAUCUGGGGACCCAAGGUUGAGGAAGGUUGUUCUAGGCUAAACAUCCUAAAUGUUUUAGUUUAAUGUGUCUUUUCAUAGGGAAAGGGCUCCAAUGAGCAUGGCACCAGCCGCCUCAUUAAAAGCAGUCAGUUCCUCAAAAAGCCUCUUGGAUCAAGUAGGUCUUCUUCACCUGCCAGCAGAAGGACAAGGAGGGAGCCAGUCUCACUCCUCUAGGGAGAGAGGUCCAAAGUAUGGGAGCAGCCACCAAGAAGGUCUUCUCCAAUUUUCCCACCAAACAUGUUUGGAAUGGUGGCAGGACUGAGAAAGACUCUUCCAAAGAUCUCAGAACCCAGGGAAUAUGAUUUUUCAGAUAGGUUGGACCUCAGCCAUGUAGGGCUUUAUAAGUCGUAGGCAGUGAAACUGUUCUAGGAAGGAAGUCAUCUCCUCCCUAUAACCAGCCCCAGUCAACAAUCUGGCUGCACCUCUUUGAGCCAGUUGAAGUUUCUGAGUAUUUUUCAAAGGCAGCCCCAUGUCAUGUGUGUUACCCAAAUGACAUGCAACUAAGGCGGGCGUCACUGUGGCCAAAUCAGACAUCUGUAAUGAGCUGGUUGGAUGCUGUAGUACAAAGCACCCAAAGGGGAAACAUGGCAUAAAACAGCUUUGAUGAUAUUCAAUAGCGCAGAGACAAACUUAAGUCUGAUAUCAUCACUAGUCUGUCCAGCAAGUAUCAUGUGCUACAUCAGAAGGCUGACAGAAACUUUCCCGGAGACAUCAAAUACAUAACACAAAUAUAUUUGCUUAGGAAACAGCAAAGCUUCCCCAGAUUUCAGAAGCAAAACCCUCAAUGGAAUAAGAAGGCCAAACUACGAGGGAAGAUUAGAAGUCUCAUAAGCUUCAUAUCUCUGAGUUUUAGCUGGAUGUAGUCUUUUUGAAAGCUUGUGUGGAUGUGAAUGAAAAAAAAUUGUGAUUCAUACUGAUAGGGUGGGCUCACAUCAGUAAUAAAUUAGUUUCCAACAUCAAAGGAAAAUAAACAGAAAAUAAAUAAUUUUAAUUCCCUAAAGCAUAAAUAUUGGAUGUACAUAUAAAUGUAGCACAUUUGUUAUUUGGAUGUUUAAAACGUCUGCUUCAACUUCUCUUUCCAAUUAUGAACAGGAAUGUUUUGUUUGUUUGUUUAAGUGUCUGACAUGCAGGACUUUUUUUCAGCUGAAACUCUCUGGAACACAGUUCUGUCACCUCUCAGGUGGGCCAGAACAAGGGAGAAUGAGGUGAGUUCAGGGUGAGUUCUGGCACCUUUUUUAUAGAAAAAAUAGCAUUGCUCACAUGCAACCAGUAGAGCUGAACUGCCCCACGACCACCUGAAACAAUUUGAGAGACAUGUCUAAUGCUUUAUUAGUGUGUUUUAAACCCUACACCCUGUGGGGAUAGAGCGUGCAAAAGAGCACCCUGCAGGAAUCCUCCAGUCACCCGCUGUUGAGCAGAGGAAUCAAUCCUGCUGGGGUCUGCUGCUGUAUCCUGUCUGAUGCCUAAUAAUAAUAAUAAUUUAUUAUUUGCACUCUGCCCAUCUGGCUGGGUUUCCCCAGCCACUCUGGGCGGCUUCCAACAAAGAUUAAAAAUACAUUAAAAUGUCACACAUUAAAAACUUCCCUCCAGGUGUCUUCUAAAUGUCAGGUAGAUGUCUCUUUGACAUCUGAUGGGUGUUCCACAGGGCAGGCACCACUACUGAGAAAGCCCUCUGCCUGGUUCCCUGUAGCUUCGCUUCUCGCAGUGAGGGAACUGCCAGAAGGCCCUCAGCGCUGAAUCUCAGCGUCUGGGCAGAACACUUGACAGCCCCAGAUCACUCUGAUCGGCCUGACCCAAGCCACGAUGACCCAGAGCUGUCCCUACCUGACUCUGCUGAAGCCUGGAUCCUUCCCAAAUCAGCCUGAUUUUGGUUCAGGAUUUGGGCUUUUGCAAAUAUGGCACAGCCCCGGUACCCACUGCAUGACAAAAAAUAAUAAUUCAGUCAAAAUGGCAGUUGAAGAAGCAUCAGUGAGGGAGAUGAUGUAACCUCAGACAGCUGUGGAAAAGGGAAGGGUGAAAAUCUUCUCAGGCAAGUCUCCUAUCCUGUGAUUCCUUUUGAGGAGGAGAAGGAAGGAAGGAAGGAAGGAAGGAAGGAAGGAAGGAAGGGGCAUACAUUGUGAUGGUAAUAGGCAUUGAACUUCCAACUGGCCUGUUGCCCUUUCCUCAAAUUUCAAGGGUGAAAAGUUUGUUUGUUUGUUUCAUUUAUAUACUGCCCAUAUGAAAGCACAGCAUACAAACAAGCAAAACAGUACCUCCACAGUUUAAAAGGCCAUAAAAGGUAAAGGUAAAGGGACCCCUGACCGUUAGGUCCAGUCGUGGCCGACUCUGGGGUUGCAGCGCUCAUCUCGCUUUACUGGCCAAGGGAGCCGGCGUUUGUCCACAGACAGCUUCCAGGUCAUGUGGCCAGCAUGACUAAGCCGCUUCUGGAGAACCAAAGCAGUGCACGGAAACGCAAUUUACCUUCCUGCCAGAGCGGUACCUAUUUAUCUACUUGCAUUUUGUGCUUUUGAACUGCUAGGUUGGCAGGAGCAGGGACCAAGCAACGGAAGCUCACCCUGUCGCACAGACUCGAACCGCCAACCUUCUGAUCAGCAAGUCCUAGGCUCUGUGGUUUAACCCACAGCGCCACCCGUGUCCCGAGGGUAUGGUAGGAUGUCCCUAUUUUCAUCAGAGAAAUGUUGGAGGUUAGAGAGUUAUCUGACCCUUGAGCUAUCUGAAAGCCACCCUGUAUAGGGAAGUUUUUUUUAAUGUUGAAUGUUGAAAUUAUGUUUGUUAUAUGUGUUGGAAGCCUCCCAGAGUGGCUGGGGCAAUUCUGCCAAAUGGGUAGGGUAUAAAUAGUGAAACUAUUAUUAUGGAAUACAAUGUCCCUAUUUAAAUUGGAGAAAUGUGGGAGAGUAUGGCCUUCUGCCUGACACAGUUUUCUAUGUGCAGGAUUUUCCCAUCAUGGGAAAACAUAAAAUCCUGAUACUGAACUGUAAGGGCCCAGGAGCAAUUUAUCAUGUAAUGCAUUAUUUGACUAAGAUGCCUCUCAUAGAACAAGGAAGCAACAGCUUCAGGUUGAACCUAAUUUGAUGUGACACUCUUUACUCAAGCAAUGGAAAACCAACAAGAGGAGCAUCUAUUUCUGACCUUCUCUGUAUGUUUGAUAAAGAUCUCUUUUUGGCAGAUAUUCAGGCCUGCUGUUAUCACUUCCUCCUAAUGAAGAUUUCACUUGGUGCCAUGAAACAGUGAUUGUUAGUCAUCACAAAAGACACCAGUAGUAUUAAAAAACACACAAAAACCCCAUCACUGCCUUCUGUCAUUUUGAAGAGUUUUAAGUCUGUGUUUGUGUGUGUGGUGUGUUCAUCUUAUUCUCUUCCAAGGCUGAAUGAAUUUUGCCACCAAAGAAGAGACAAUUUUCUUACUGAUUCUUGAAACAAAAAAUACAAAAAAGGAAAGAAUCUUGUUUUAAUUUGAAGACCACUGUAUUUGUUGUGACAAACUUUAAUGGAUGAGAGCCCAGCGUUAGCUCACUGAGGAUAAUUCUCCAUGCGUCAGAAAAAGCAGGCUUUAAUCUAUCAAUUUUUUGGUCACCAAAAAUAUGUCAGCAGCACUUAGGAGAUACCGCAGGACCCUGCAUUAUUUUGGCUGUAUGGCCUUCCCUCUGGAAAAUAUAAGCUGCUUUUGAAAAUAAGUCAGAGGAAGAAUGACCACUGGGAGGAGCCCAGAGAGAAGAAACACCAUGGCACACAAGCAUCAGCACAACCAGAUGCCUUCAUCUGCCCCAGCUGCAACAAAACAUGUCUCUCCCUUAUUGGUCUCCACAGCCACAGCAGGUGCUGUAAUUCUCCAUGGUUUACUCCUCCAUUGUCUCCCAAGACAGACAGAUGCCAACCUCAGUCUUACUAGCUGAUACAUGCAGACUGAAACAGGCUUUCACACACAUAUCCCUACUUGGGUGAGGAAUGCAGUGGUGCCUUGGUUCUCAAAUUUAAUUCAUUCCAAGAGUCCGUUCGACUCCCAAAACAGUUCGAAAACCAAGACACGGCUUCCAAUUGGCUGCAGGAGCUUCCUGCACUCAGACGUUCAACUUCCGAAAAACAUUCGCAAGCCGGAACACUCACUUUGUGGGGUUUGGGAGCUAAUUUGUUCACUAGUCGUUAUUGAGAUUGUAAGGAAUAAGAUGUAUGGCUCUAAACAUAUAAAGAAUCUACAGCACAUUAAGAAGUAAGCCCCACAAUUUCAUUGGGACUUAUCCCCACGUACAUAUGUAUAGGAUUGCAGAUUAUAUCGCUGUUUGCAAUGCUGAUAUUGCAUAACAGCAUAAUCCCUAGCAUUUAAAAUGCUUCACAAUAGAAGUCCUAUGUAUUUUCUUGAAGUAAAGCACUGCAGAAAAUGGAAAUAAAAAACCCCCAGCACUUGAGAAGAUUGAUAAUGGAAGUUCAAUAAAUUGCUAGUGAAAACGCUCUGCUGUGCCUUUGCCCAGGGAACAUUUUUUCCCCCUAGUAGAAGUUAAUUCCUUUUUCCAAAAAGAGAAAAGGGAAUUAUAAAAGAAGGCUGAAAUAAUUGCGCUGUCAAUUACUUCUGAAACAGCCACAGUCAAAAGGUGCUAAUCUUCAUUAAUAUUCUGAUAUAACUAAAUUGGCAAAAGAGAAAACACUUACUAUGCAAGUCUCUCUCCUUAAACACACUCCUCUGCAUAACCUGACUUACUAGGGCUGUUGUAAGGAUUGUAACUGCAUGAUACACGUGGAAAACUUUGAAGACCUGAAAGCACUAUACAGAUGUUAAGCGUUAAAGGUGAACAUUUCCAAAUUCUGGUGCUGGCAGUCGUUAUUGCGGAGCAGCAUUAAUUGGAAAGCAAGAUUCAUAACAAUCAACCUUUUGCACGUACUCUAAGGCUGGCCAAUGCAUGCAAGUAACUGCAUUUGAAUUGUUUUUAUUUAUUUAUUAAAAAUAUUUCAGUUAAACAGAAACCAACAAAAAAUAAACAAAAACAUGCAUUAAAAAUACAAUAUAUAUAUAUAAAAAGGAGGAAAGCAUUAUAAUUCUAUACAUGCUUAUCUAACACAAUGGUAUAUAAAUGGCAUUUUUAUUCUAAUACAGAUACAAUUAUUUGUAACCUACUAUGUUUUGUAUAAAUGCUUUCCAGCUAUCAUAAUAUCUAUCAGUAUACCUGAAGGAGCG